GUCCACGCUGUAAACGUUGGGCGCUAGGUGUGGGGAGCCUCUCCGGUUCUCUGUGCCGCAGCUAACGCAUUAAGCGCCCCGCCUGGGGAGUACGGCCGCAAGGCUAAAACUCAAAGGAAUUGACGGGGGCCCGCACAAGCGGCGGAGCAUGCGGAUUAAUUCGAUGCAACGCGAAGAACCUUACCUGGGUUUGACAUGGGCGCUAAAACCGCAGAGAUGCGGUGUCCUUCGGGGCGGUUCACAGGUGGUGCAUGGCUGUCGU
Molecule: ribosomal RNA, 262 nt
Filed under: uncultured bacterium
Lineage: Bacteria
Description: partial 16S ribosomal RNA
Rfam family: Bacterial small subunit ribosomal RNA
Source: RNAcentral